CUGUAUUUCAAAGUCGAUGUGCUCAAAUGAGAAUAAACUAUUUGAUAAUUUCUAGAACCUCUACCUGCAGUAGGCUACUCAUACAUUUUCCCCUCCUCACAGAGUCAUUAUGUUUGCCUCAUUUAUUACCGAGAGUAUUUUAAGCUAAAUGAAUAGUCGUCUCUAUCUGCACGGUGUCUCUGAAGGCCCCGGCUGUGCACACAGGAAGCCUGAGGGAAAUGGCCUGUGAAAACAGCACGGCUCGCUCCUCUCUAUCACCGCUCUCCAGCUGGAGCACACAUGCACACUCUCUCACCUCUCUCUCUCUCUCUCUCUCUCUCUCUCUCUCGCUCUCUCGCUCUCUCUCUCGCUCUCUAGCAAAUGAAUUCCCGCCCUCGCUGAUCAUAGCCAUUCAGUAUCAUCUGUCUUCAUUGCGGGGGCUUGGGAGACAGCUGGUGGUGCUGUAUUAGGGUGAAAGAUUAGUCUCCACUGUGUUUCUUCUCCCGACACGAGGUCCCACAUCAGCAAGUGGUUAACUAGCCCCUGUUCCCGUUGUUCUCCAUCGCUCUCAGCUCAGCCAUGAAACCAUUCCCGUAAGUAGGCACUGAUUCACAAGAACACCAACACUCAUGCCAGCCCCUUGGACGGAAAGGUCUUUCUCCUCACGCAGACAUGGGAGAGCCAUUUCAGACAUGGACAGUUGAAGAACUGCAGGGGUGUAUCUCCUUCAGAUCGUGCAGUGCUCCGUGUCCUGACUGAUGGACGCAUCUCAUGCAGUGAAUACGAGCCUCCACAGUGAGUUAAUGAGUGACCAGCGACAGCGAAAUGGCCCAGAGGAACAUAAUGACUGACGUGGCAAAAGUCCUAAUUGAUUUCCUGGAUGCGAGGCCUAAUAAGAAUCAGGGGAGUAGUCAUUACGGGUGUGUGAGACUGGCUGUUGCUGCUCCUGUAAUGAGGCCUCUUACGAAACACAGACAGCAAUUACACGAACUAAGGUACAAGGUAAGAGACGAAACAGGCCGAGCAAGUGGAGAGAAACAACGUGGGACACAAGGAAACGGUGACCAAAGAAUAACCAGCUCCUACAGCAAUCACAAGUUACUCACAAACACAUAAUUAAUGAUUUAAAGGAACACACUCUAAUUCUGGAAGAGAAAAAAAAGGAAUUUUAGAAUAAAGAAGCUAAUUACCCUGAGCUGGCAUAGCCAGGGCAGGGUAUUAGUUACACCCCUGUCUCUGUGUGUGUGUGUGUGUGUGUGUGUGUGUGUGUACAGACAACAUUGCAACAAUGCAUCGAUGGAUUUUCAUCAAACUUGGGGGGAUUGUAACUUGGGACUGUAUCUCCAGAUGAUUAACUUUUGGAGCUGAUCGGUCAAGGGGGGUCAGGUGGGGAAGGAAGCUUUUUUUUGUACAAAUGAAAGCGAAUUCAUGGAUUUUCUUUAUGCAGUGAGUUCAAGAAUCUUGGAAAUUGAGAAUGAAUAAAAUGUUCCCAUUAUUGUAAUGCAGACGUUAAAUGAUGUCAAUUCAAAGAGCAGCUCUCGCUCAAAAUGCAAAUUACACUAUACACCUUGGUCGUCUGGCCCACUGCGUUUCAAACUAACUGUUAUUUGGUGUCCACAGGCGGGAAAAUCAGCUGCUCAUUUGAGCUGUGAUCUUGUCCGUACUGUACGCACUGAUUUUGAUUGAGUUGUGGUGCCUUCACAUUAGAAAACUCACAAACUUAAGUAAGCUCAAAGAUGACGUCGAAAUGAAAUGUCGGAUUUUUUUUUCAUUGCUGUUGAUGAACACCACUGUAACACUGUCACUGAAGAUCUCAGGAAUCAAAGUAUUACAACUUUGGAAAACUGUUUUCUUUUCUCUCUGUGAUGACGUCUUUGUCAUUUUGAAGACAGUAUGGUUGACGUCCACCUGGAC
Molecule: long non-coding RNA, 1893 nt
Filed under: Scophthalmus maximus (turbot)
Lineage: Eukaryota; Metazoa; Chordata; Actinopteri; Pleuronectiformes; Scophthalmidae
Description: lncRNA (ENSSMAG00000024823.1)
Source: RNAcentral